Molecule: transfer RNA, 76 nt
Filed under: Candidatus Lokiarchaeum ossiferum
Lineage: Archaea; Promethearchaeati; Promethearchaeota; Promethearchaeia; Promethearchaeales; Promethearchaeaceae
Description: tRNA-Val
Rfam family: tRNA
About the family: Transfer RNA (tRNA) molecules are approximately 80 nucleotides in length. Their secondary structure includes four short double-helical elements and three loops (D, anti-codon, and T loops).
Source: RNAcentral
GGGCUGUUGGUUUAGUGGUUAUAACGCCACGCUUACACCGUGGAAGUCCCCGGUUCAAUCCCGGGACGGCCCACCA